This is a small nuclear RNA of Podarcis muralis (Common wall lizard), 87 nucleotides long. Lineage: Eukaryota; Metazoa; Chordata; Lepidosauria; Squamata; Lacertidae. The record is from Ensembl.
GUGCUGCAUAAAAGGAGAGAAUGCGAAGGAUGAAAGAGGUGUUUAAGAUAUUGCCACUUGCUUUGUGGCAUCUAACCAUUUUUUUUA